GACGAACGCUGGCGGCGUGCUUAACACAUGCAAGUCGAACGGUGAAGCGCCUUCCUUUUUGGUGGGUGUGGAUGAGUGGCGAACGGGUGAGUAACACGUGAGUAACCUGCCCCCUUCUUCUGGAUAACCGCAUGAAAGUGUGGCUAAUACGGGAUAUUCUGGGUCUGUCGCAUGAUGGGUCUGGGAAAGAUAUUGUUUCGGUGGGGGAUGGGCUCGCGGCCUAUCAGCUUGUUGGUGGGGUGAUGGCCUACCAAGGCGGUGACGGGUAGCCGGCCUGAGAGGGUGGACGGUCACACUGGGACUGAGACACGGCCCAGACUCCUACGGGAGGCAGCAGUGGGGAAUAUUGCACAAUGGGCGCAAGCCUGAUGCAGCGACACCGCGUGAGGGAUGGAGGCCUUCAGGUUGUGAACCUCUUUCGCCAGUGAAGCAGGCCUGCCUCGUUUGUGGGUGGGUUGACGGUAGCUGGAUAAGAAGCGCCGGCUAACUACGUG
RNAcentral lists this ribosomal RNA (494 nucleotides) under uncultured bacterium. RNAcentral describes it as "partial 16S ribosomal RNA". It matches the Rfam family "Bacterial small subunit ribosomal RNA", at positions 28 to 507 of the family's 1533-position model. The record is from RNAcentral.